CACGCCCUAAACUAUGUCAACUAGUUGUCGGGUCUUAUUAGACUUGGUAACGUAGCUAACGCGUGAAGUUGACCGCCUGGGGAGUACGGUCGCAAGAUUAAAACUCAAAGGAAUUGACGGGGACCCGCACAAGCGGUGGAUUAUGUGGAUUAAUUCGAUGCAACGCGAAAAACCUUACCUACCCUUGACAUGUCAGAAAGUUUUCAGAGAUGAGAAUGUGCUCGAAAGAGAAUUUGAACACAGGUGC
RNAcentral lists this ribosomal RNA (247 nucleotides) under uncultured beta proteobacterium. Its description in RNAcentral is "partial 16S ribosomal RNA". It matches the Rfam family "Bacterial small subunit ribosomal RNA", at positions 796 to 1041 of the family's 1533-position model. The record is from RNAcentral. Lineage: Bacteria; Pseudomonadati; Pseudomonadota; Betaproteobacteria.